RNAcentral lists this transfer RNA (74 nucleotides) under Chytriomyces hyalinus. RNAcentral's name for it is "tRNA-Asn". It matches the Rfam family "tRNA". Rfam says of the family: Transfer RNA (tRNA) molecules are approximately 80 nucleotides in length. Their secondary structure includes four short double-helical elements and three loops (D, anti-codon, and T loops). Further hydrogen bonds mediate the characteristic L-shaped molecular structure. tRNAs have two regions of fundamental functional importance: the anti-codon, which is responsible for specific mRNA codon recognition, and the 3' end, to which the tRNAs corresponding amino acid is attached (by aminoacyl-tRNA synthetases). tRNAs cope with the degeneracy of the genetic code in two manners: having more than one tRNA (with a specific anti-codon) for a particular amino acid; and 'wobble' base-pairing, i.e. permitting non-standard base-pairing at the 3rd anti-codon position. Lineage: Eukaryota; Fungi; Chytridiomycota; Chytridiomycetes; Chytridiales; Chytriomycetaceae. RNAcentral also lists the same sequence under 6 other names. The record is from RNAcentral.
GCUCGAUUGGCUCAGCUGGUAGUAGCGUGGGGCUGUUAACCUCAAGGUCAGUGGUUCGAUCCCACUAUCGAGCG